GAACAUAUUUUGGCAGACAAAGUUUCUGGAUGCCAAAGACCAAGAUUGAGGAAUGUUAGUGACAAGAAAUGAAUUUUAUGGAACCUUGUAUUCUGUUGAGUAACAGAAUUAUAUCAGCAAUCCCAAAGUCACCAAAUGGGCAUCAUCAUGACAGCAGGUGGGUGGAAUACAACAUACAUAUAUAUGUAUAUAUGAUGGUUGGUGGUUUUGGCAGUUUCUACCUAUCUGGACCUGGACAAAAAAAUCUUUUCACACCAGAUUUUUGGCAGCUGAG
This 274-nucleotide long non-coding RNA is filed under the name Homo sapiens (human). RNAcentral describes it as "HSALNT0217398". The record is from RNAcentral. Lineage: Eukaryota; Metazoa; Chordata; Mammalia; Primates; Hominidae.